AUUGAACGCUGGCGGCAGGCCUAACACAUGCAAGUCGAGCGAGUGGCGGACGGGUGAGUAAUGUCUGGGAAACUGCCCGAUGGAGGGGGAUAACUACUGGAAACGGUAGCUAAUACCGCAUACCAUCGGAUGAGCCCAGAUGGGAUUAGCUAGUAGGUAGGGUAACGGCUCACCUAGGCGACGAUCCCUAGCUGGUCUGAGAGGAUGACCCACCACACUGGGACUGAGACACGGUCCAGACUCCUACGGGAGGGAGCAGGUGGGAAUAUUGCACAAUGGGCGCAAGCCUGAUUGAGCCAUGCCGCGUGGAUGAAGAAGGCCCUUGGGGUGUAAAAGACUUUUAGCGCGGAGGAGGUACCCGCAGAAGAAGGACCGGCUAACUCCGUGGCAGCAGCCGCGGUAAUAC
This 406-nucleotide ribosomal RNA is filed under the name uncultured bacterium. RNAcentral's name for it is "partial 16S ribosomal RNA". It matches the Rfam family "Bacterial small subunit ribosomal RNA", at positions 29 to 526 of the family's 1533-position model. The record is from RNAcentral.